UCACCCAUUCCUUCUCUCCAGCGAUGCUGCCUGUCCCGCUGAGUUACUCCAGCAUUUUGUGUCUAAAUUUGGAGACUGG
Molecule: long non-coding RNA, 79 nt
Organism: Amblyraja radiata (thorny skate)
Lineage: Eukaryota; Metazoa; Chordata; Chondrichthyes; Rajiformes; Rajidae
Exons: 3
Source: RefSeq, a predicted model, not a curated record